This 19610-nucleotide long non-coding RNA is filed under the name Citrus sinensis (sweet orange). RNAcentral's name for it is "long non-coding RNA (CSIN_LNC003292)". Lineage: Eukaryota; Viridiplantae; Streptophyta; Magnoliopsida; Sapindales; Rutaceae. The record is from RNAcentral.
ACAUAUGUUCUAUAAAUAUCAUCCCUCUAGCCAGAGUUGUGGCACACACCAAGUAAAGGAUAAUUGAUAUCAUAACUCUUGCUUUCAAAAUGAGGCUCAUUGGGUCCUUACUAAUUUUCUCUCUAGUUUUAUCUUUUGUACUAGGAGGUUCAGCACAGAAUUGUGGCAGCGGCGUUGUGUGCGGUGAACGUGAUACUGGCCACGGGACGGAUGGCGGUGAACUGGGCAAGAUCAUCUCAAGGGAGAUGUUUGAAGACUUGCUUCCGUAUAGAAAUGAUGUUAAUUUUCAUUACUUAUAAAAUUUGUUAAUAUUCAUUUUAAAAUAGUGGAUUUUUUAAACUAAUGAUAUCAAUUACUUGCGGUUAAAAUAAUAUAUAUAAAUAAAUUGAUGGAAUUUAUGAAAUUGAAAAGAAAAAGAGAAGAAAUAGUUAAUUAAGUAAUUUUUUUAAAAAUCAUUCAAAUAAUAUAAUUUUUAAGAGGGGGCUAUUUGAACACACCAGUUUUCUCUCUACAUUCUUUUUCUAAUUGAGAAUUUUAUUAUCUAAAUAGUUUUCAAUAAAAUUACUUAAUUAACUCUUUCUUCUCUUUCUCAUCUCAAGUUCACAAAUUCCCAUCAAUCCAUUGAGAUAUAUUUUUUUAGUCACAAAUAAUUGAUAUCACAAACUAGGGAAAACAAAAUCCACAGUUUAAAUUAAAUGUCAACAAAAUUUUAUGAGUCAUGAAAGUCAAUAAAUAUCAAGAAAUUAAAUUUUAAUAAACAGGAAAUUAAUGAACAUCAAGAAAAAGUUUUUAUAUAUAAAAAGUAUGAAAUAGAGGUCAUGAUCUAUUAGAAAAGACCAAAAAUGAAUUUAAAAAAUAGUGAAACUUGAGUCUUUAGUUUAUAAAAUGUGAGAAUUUGCAAUUGUCAGGUAUAGAGAGAGAUUCAUGAAAGGUAAUCUUGAUAUUUUCAAAUAGUCCCAUCUAAUAUUUGAUUGGAAAGCGCGUGUGGACAGAAAAUUAGCGGACUCAAAUAGCCCCACUCUUUCUUUAAUUUCGCAUUGACCCCGAUUAUUUUGUGAUUUUCUCCUUUUAGUCAAUAUUAAUUGUUGUUACUGGAUUUUCCCCUGAGACCUAGAGCGAGCCCAUAACGUUCAUGCUCGAGGACUUCCCUGCCCCGAGAACCAAGCCCAAUAAUCUUGAGGCCUUUGCAGGUUUAUCCAGGAAAGGUGCCUCUGCUAGGAUAAGAAAAGUCAAUUCGGGUUGUGAGUCGAUCCUCAGCCUAGUAAGUGAUGACAGCGUACAGUAAUGAUCUUUGACAAACAUCAAAAGAUCGAUUAAUAUGAAAAAAUCCAUCACGAUAACCAUGUGUGUGAAUGUAAGUGUGAGUGUGAGGCGUGAGUUAUUUUAAUUUGUGGAUCCCUCUAACGUACAUUUAGGCCUCGUUUGGUAUGUCGGAUUGGAUUGGAUAGGAUAAUACUGAACUAUAUAAUAUUAUGUUGUGUUUGGUUCAAUAUUGAAUUGAACUAUAAAUAAUCAUGUUUUAUAUUAUAAUAUUAUAAUUUACAAGUUAUUAUUAUUAUUAUUAUUAUUAGUAGUAGUAUAAACUGAAAUUUUGUAUUAUUAAUAAUACAAAUCAACCUCAAUGACAUUAAUGAAAUAUAAAUAAUAAUUUAAAUAAUUUUUAUUUUGUUAAAUAUAUAUAUGAUAUUUAUAUUAUUUUUAUUCAAUAAUCUAUUAUUUUAUAUUAAAAAAAAGUAUCUUUUUGAAUAUUAAUUUAAUAAUUAAUUUAUAAUGUAAAUUUGAAAUUAUAAAAAUAAUUAAUAAUUAAAUAAAUUAAAAUAAAAUUUUAUUUUAAUUUGAAAUUAAUAAUAUUUUUAGUAUAAUUUAUUAUUUACAUGAUUAAAAUCAAUAUUUUUUAUUACAUUUAUCACAUAUGACUAUAAUUUUAAUAUUUAUAAAUUAUUAUGUUUAAUUGAGUUAUCAAUAUAAUCUAAUACUAACUAAUCCCAUAGUCUCCCUGGGGAUAAUUUUCUUUAUAAAAUUGAGAUUAGUUUGUGGGCCCACGAUAACUAAAUUCCAAUAUCCUUGAUAGCACCAAACAUGAGACAAGGAUAAAAUUUAAAAAAAGAGUCAAAUCCCCAGUUUUAAUACUCCAACCAAACAAGGCCUUAAUGUAUGUUAGGGUUUGCCUUAAUUUCUAGGCAUUUGCUGCCUCAAUGAAAAUGAAGAUGCGCUCGUUUUUGCACGUGUUAUUCUGCAAUGAAAAUGACGGUGUGCUCGUUUUGCAUGUGUUAUUCUUCAGUCACAUCCUCUUUUGUUUCUGUCUGCCUUUACAACAAAAAUUUACCAGCAACCUGCAAGCAUUCAUGCACAAACAGCCAAAAAAACGCCUAAUAUCAUCGCCCCACUUGCCCUUGUUUAGUUGUUUUCAAGAUCAAAGCCAACCUCAGUACAUUGGGAUAAAGACUGGAAGCAGAGAACAGCCGCUGCCAGAUCUACAAGAUGUGAAAUAAAGAAGACCAUCAAAAUCCUUAAUUAUUGCUUGUCUAUGUCAUGGUUUUAAAGAUAAACAAUCUUGAUAGGCUUUCUUACGUAAGACAUAUAGAUCCAACGAAAAUUAAAAAUAAGUAUUAAAAAUAAUAAAUAUAUGUUUUGAUGUGAACAAAAAAAUAGUAAUAAAAUUUUUUCCUGUACUUUUUUAUUUUCUAAACAUUUUCAUCUAAUAAAUAUUUUGUAAAUUUAAACUUAAAUGUAAAAAGUACAAGAAUAAUAGUUGAUUAUUUAUUUUAUAAUAAUUUUUUAUUUAUCAUUCAAGUUUUCUUAUAAUAAUUUUCUUAUAUAUUUAUUAUAAAAAAAUAUUUAUAAAAUAAAAAAUACAAGAAAAAUAUUUUAUUAUUCUGCUGUACCGUACAUCCGCCUUGGCCGUACAGCAGCAAUGAGCCAUCUCUNNNNNNNNNNNNNNNNNNNNNNNNNNNNNNNNNNNNNNNNNNNNNNNNNNNNNNNNNNNNNNNNNNNNNNAUAAUUUAAAUAAUUUUUAUUUUGUUAAAUAUAUAUAUGAUAUUUUUAUUAUUUUUAUUCAAUAAUCUAUUAUUUUAUAAAAAAAGUAUCUUUUUGAAUAUUAAUUUAAUAAUUAAUUUAUAAUGUAAAUUUGAAAUUACAAAAAUAAUUAAUAAUUAAAUAAAUUAAAAUAAAAUUUUAUUUUAAUUUGAAAUUAAUAAUAUUUUUAGUAUAAUUUAUUAUUUACAUGAUUAAAAUCAAUAUUUUUUAUUACAUUUAUCACAUAUGACUAUAAUUUUAAUAUUUAUAAAUUAUUAUGUUUAAUUGAGUUAUCAAUAUAAUCUAAUACUAACUAAUCCCAUAGUCUCCCUGGGGAUAAUUUUCUUUAUAAAAUUGAGAUUAGUUUGUGGGCCCACGAUAACUAAAUUCCAAUAUCCUUGAUAGCACCAAACAUGAGACAAGGAUAAAAUUUAAAAAAAGAGUCAAAUCCCCAGUUUUAAUACUCCAACCAAACAAGGCCUUAAUGUAUGUUAGGGUUUGCCUUAAUUUCUAGGCAUUUGCUGCCUCAAUGAAAAUGAAGAUGCGCUCGUUUUUGCACGUGUUAUUCUGCAAUGAAAAUGACGGUGUGCUCGUUUUGCAUGUGUUAUUCUUCAGUCACAUCCUCUUUUGUUUCUGUCUGCCUUUACAACAAAAAUUUACCAGCAACCUGCAAGCAUUCAUGCACAAACAGCCAAAAAAACGCCUAAUAUCAUCGCCCCACUUGCCCUUGUUUAGUUUUUUUCAAGCUCACAGCCAAUCUCAGUACACUGGGAUAAAGACUAGAAGCAGAGAACAGCCGCUGCCAGCUCUAGAAGAUGUGAAAUAAAGAAGACCAUCAAAAUCCUUAAUUAUUGCUUGUCUAUGUCAUGGUUUUAAAGAUAAACAAUCUUGAUAGGCUUUCUUACGUAAGACAUAUAGAUCCAACGAAAAUUAAAAAUAAGUAUUAAAAAUAAUAAAUAUAUGUUUUGAUGUGAACAAAAAAAUAGUAAUAAAAUUUUUUCCUGUACUUUUUUAUUUUCUAAACAUUUUCAUCUAAUAAAUAUUUUGUAAAUUUAAACUUAAAUGUAAAAAGUACAAGAAUAAUAGUUGAUUAUUUAUUUUAUAAUAAUUUUUUAUUUAUCAUUCAAGUUUUCUUAUAAUAAUUUUCUUAUAUAUUUAUUAUAAAAAAAUAUUUAUAAAAUAAAAAAUACAAGAAAAAUAUUUUAUUAUUAAUUUUUUAUAACAAAAUAUAUAUUUUUUAUUUUUAAUACUUAAUUUUUUAUUUUAAUUUUCAUUCAUGUGAUUUAUUUAAUUAUAAUAAACAUGAAUAAGAGUGUGAUUAAAAAUAAGAGUAAUAUUAUAAAUUUAUACUAUUAAGAAAUAGGGGAAAUUAGCAACGUCCCUUCAAAAAACCAUGACACAUAUGUUCUAUAAAUAUCAUCCCUCUAGCCAAAGUUGUGACACACACCAAGUAAAGGAUAAUUGAUAUCAUAACUCUUGCUUUCAAAAUGAGGCUCAUUGGGUCCUUACUAAUUUUCUCUCUAGUUUUAUCUUUUGUACUAGGAGGUUCAGCACAGAAUUGUGGAAGCGGCGUUGUGUGCGGUGAACGUGAUACUGGCCACGGGACGGAUGGCGGUGAACUGGGCAAGAUCAUCUCAAGGGAGAUGUUUGAAGACUUGCUUCCGUAUAGAAAUGAUGCCCGAUGCCCUGCCAGAGGCUUCUACACUUAUGAUGCUUUUAUAGAGGCAGCCCAAGCUUUUCCAGGCUUUGGUAACUCUGGAAAUGAAACCAUGCGUAAAAGAGAAAUUGCUGCCUUUUUUGCCCAAACUGGCCAUGAAACUACUGGUUUGUUUCAAUUCCUGAUCAAAUUAAUUAAAUUUAAAGAUUCCUUUUUCCGGUGCACUAACAAGUAAUGUGCAAGUAUUAAAUUAUAAAUAAACAAUAUCACCCAAUCUCCAAUCGGUAUUUUAAUUUGUUACUAAUCAAUUUUUGUGGUUAAUAAACUUACAGGGGGAUGGACCGAUGCACCUGGUGGAGAAUAUGCUUGGGGAUAUUGCUAUAUUAGGCAAGUUAGCCCUGCGUCGUCCGACUACUGUUAUCCUUACUGUCCAUGUCCCUUGCCAGGGCAAUACUAUGGCCGAGGUCCAAUUCAACUCACUUGGUAGGCUGAACAUUUUGAAUUAGUAUAUCAUUGUCUGAUCUGAAUGAGAAAGUCUUGCCCUCUUGAAUUGAAAACUUGUUAAAUGUGCAUUUACAUUCUAUCCAACAUUAAUUAUUCACUAACUUCUUGGUGUACAGGAAUUGCAAUUACUUAAGGUGCGGAGAAGCCUUGGGGGUGGACUUGUUGAACAAUCCAGACCUACUUGCCACUGAUCCAGUACUAUCAUUCAAGUCAGCAAUCUGGUUCUGGAUGACUGCACAGCCACCAAAGCCAUCGUGCCACGAAGUCAUUAUCGACGAAUGGAAACCAUCAGCAAAUGACGUAAACGCCGGCCGGCUUCCGGGAUACGGUCUAACCACAAAUAUAAUCAACGGUGGAAUUGAAUGUGGCUACGUUGGGAAUGACGCUGUACGUAACCGUAUUGGGUUCUUUACCACUUUCUGUGGCAAGUUUGGGAUUCAGCCUGGUGACAAUCUUGAUUGCUCCAACCAACGGCCUUAUGGCCUUAAUCUGAUGGCACAAUCUAUGUGAUCAUCAUGAUCAACGUUUUAGUAAAAUAAGCUUAAUAAAAGCUACUUAAUAAAAACUUUAGAUGUCACACUUGUAGGUGGACAACUAAACUGUUACGCUCUUAUUGUAAGUAAAUUAAAUAAGACUGAUCCAACAUGGAUCAAUGAGUCUUCUCCAUCUUUCAUCGUUUGAUUAUUUUAACAUGACAAUUAUUUGCAACGCAAAAAGUGCCGUUGACACUUAUCCUGCCUAUACAGAUAAAGGCAAUAUCCAAUUCUGUAAGCCACAUGCAUAUUCAACGGCAUUGCUAUUCAUCAUCAUGAUGCUCAUUGUGGUACAGAUUAUAAAAUUUUGAUUAGGUCUGCUAUCCAACGUGGCUUGUCUCUCACUUGGAGGAAAUGCCUGGCAAACGAGUCAUGCAUGCAUCAAAUCAUUAUGAAGUUAGUACGCGUAUUGCUGCAGAAAUCACCCUACUACAAAGACAGCUAGAACAUUUUUGGAUACCUAAGCCCUGGGAAGUUAGUCUACCAUGUGGAUCUCAAUAAUAGAUAAUACUUUAUCAUCUAGUAGGCGACAAUAGGAAACUUCACAACAAUGAUUUCUAUUUUAAAAUUGGAUACAAUUUGCCAUAAACAAAAAUAAGGGGUUCUCUAAGAUGUUUGAACCAAUGAUUUAAUGGGGAAAAGAAUCUGAAGAAUUUACAGUUAAGUUUCACCUGUUCAUCCUACGCAUUCAUUUAUUUUUACUUCAAAGAAGGCGAAAUGAUAAUCAAGUAUCAUCUAGCAAUAUUUAAGAGUGAAAGCAACCGAUACUGAGAUGGAAGAAAGGUGAUAUACCAGACAAACAAUUUGUUUUUUGUAUAUAAUUUCAUUUCUAUAGGAUGAUACAGGUAUAUUUCAAUCAUUUACAAGUAUGACAAUAAAAUUUGUAAUCUAAUUGUUGAGGAUGUUGAGAAAGGAGACUCUAGCUUUGAUCAAACGCCUAGACAAGGAUCAAAGGCCUUCUUCAAGAUCUUGGAUGCUGGACUCCAAUUCUUUCAGCUGGUUUUGCAAAUAAACAGUGUUAACAGAUUUGAGUGUCAAUGCGGCAUCCACCUUCUCAAACUCAUUCGUUUCUAUCUUGACUUCCUCACAAGCUAUUCUUUUGGGGCGGAUGAGUUUGGAAGCCAAUACAAACCCACUUAGCUUUGAUGGAAUCCCAGCACCCGAGAUAAAGGACAGCAAGGAUCCAAAUGCAGCUAAGGUUACUGCUUCAACCUCUUUCAACGCGCUAACAUGUUCCUCAUUGAUUAGAGAAGAGCAUUUGUUUCCCAUGCCUUACAAACAAUAACCAAAAUAGCACACGUAAACAACACAGUUUAUAAAUGAUUCUAUCCAUAACUGAUUUUAUGUAAUAUUCAUUUGUGUAUGCAGGCGAGCAGAUCAACACAGAACAAAAGGAAGACUACCAGAAAUGAUCAAAUCUAGGAAGUUGCUGUGUUAUCGUAAUAUCACACUAUAAUUAAAAAUGACAGCACAUUAAUUCAGAAUUAACAAACUUCAAAGUGAAAGCAAAAACAGGCAUGUACCUCUAAAAACAACAUUGUGAGGAGUUUUAGUACAAUGCUGUUGAAGAAUGUUAGCAUCAUCAUAUGCAGGCGGUGAAUUACUGAAUUCUGCAACAGUGAACAACUUUUGAUAAGCUUAACGCAGAAAAGGAAAAAGAGAGGGCGAAGGAGAGAGAGAAGUGCACAUAAAAUAUGAAAAAACAGUGAUAGAUAUUGAACAAGAAGUAUAACUUCAUGCACCUGAAAUAUCAAUUUGUAUAUCAGAUGCUCCAGAGAAGUCCCUGAGUCUAACAUGAUAAACAAAUCAGAUUAUAGUCAAAUGGCAAUCAAACUAAAAAGCAAUAGUCCAAAGAAACAUACAGCUCAUCAGUGCUAAAAUUCAUCUCAGGAUCAUUAAGGCAUUCGGAAAUCCACCCCUCUAAUGACUGAUCUGUACCAUCACAACUAGAGGCAGAUACACCUGCUAAGAUAUGUCACAAUAUGAUUAGAGAACUCGAAAAUAGACAUUCAAGUUCUUGACUGUAUCAUAAUGUAGUUGCAAAAUACAAACCUGAAAACUCAGUAGUCCACUGAGAUGCUUCAGGUAAUACUUCUUCGACUGACUCCCCCCUCUCCUACACAGAAUGAAGAACAUAAAUAUUAGCAAUGUUGAAAGGACAAGCAAGGAGCAAUUUAGACAUAUGAUCAAAUAACUAAAACGUGCUCCAUAAUAUAAAGACAUGAUGCUAUUACAGAAUGAUCACAAAGAAGAGAUGUGGCCCGCACUGACAUUUGAUUUAAGGAACGGAGAUGGCAUUUCAUCACUGCAUAGGGAAGAAUCUACCACUUGAGUGUCAAAUUGUAACAUUCGUCGCCUCUUUAUUUGGGAAUAAGUCUCCCUACAAUCUUUUGGUUCCUUGCUCAUAUUACCUGAAAUCAACUCUCUCAAAUAAAAAAAAAACAUUGUCCAACCAGCAUGAUCUUUCAACGCAAGAAAAAGAAAUUGUGAGAGUCAAUGAAUGCUAGCAAAACAAGCCCCUACCGUUAUGAGUGGCAUGGUAAGCCAAAUCCCCACAUGCCUUAACCGGGGUUGUUUCAUCAUCAAGCAUGUAGGAAAGAUCCUCCCCAUUCAGAGCCACUUCAUUCCAUUGUGACCCAGACAUGUCUGCUAAAAUAAAAAAAUGACACAUACCCAGAUAUCACCACUCUCAUUCUACACGCCAAGCUUGGCCAAAAUCACUAGUUUCUGUAAAACACUUGAAUAACAUGCAAACUACACAUCGAGUCCUUUCCAAUUCCAAGACUUACGAUAACCAGUUUAACAAUCACCAAAUACACUUCCAAUGCACGAUAUAUAAACAAAUUUUUAGAAAUACAAGUCAUGAAAUUUCUCCGAUAAAAAAAAAAAAAUUCCAAUUUGUAUUGAGUCAGCCAUUGUGAAUAAGCUUUCUAAAUUCUAAUAGCAUUUGAGUCAAUUAUAAAAAACAAUAUACCAGAUUAAAUUUACUAAAAGAUUAAAAAAACAAAACAAUAGAAAAUCAAAUUACACACGAAACCCUAGAUUGUCUAUUUCAAGCAAAGUAUGUAACUUAUAAUAAAAUUAAAUGCAGAUUUGAGAACCCAAAAAUACCACAAUUGAAUUAGAGAGUGUUAUUAGUUAGGGUUUUAAUGAGAAUGAAAAACACUGAGGAAACCGGGAACGUGCAGGAUAAAAAGCAUUACCAGUGGAAGCGUAAGAUAGAGAACGGCAAGUUAAAGUGCGCCUCGAGGAAUAGAGACACAGAGAGAGAGACGAGCACCCCAAGCACUGUAAGUAACUGGGAGUGGAAAAUAAAGGGGUCGUUUGAUUUUGUCGUCUUCUACUUCCUCCUCUUUGUUAGUUUUUGUUUUUUUUUUUUAAAUGAGUGUGGCAACGUGAAUCACCCAAUUUUUUUUAUGGGUCCCGUUACCUUACAAAAUAUGUAACAAACAUUAAAGAAAUUGACAAACAAAUCAACAACAUUAUAAUUUGGAUUUUACCGAUUGAAGCGGUCUGUAGCCGGUUGAAAAAAGUAAGUCGAAAGAUGAAUAAUUUCUCCUAUAGCGUGUGCAACCCAAAGCGACAUGAUUUCUUUGAACUCUCAGGCUGAGGAAACUUCCUACUUGCGCAUAUCCGCCCGCCCUGAGCGAGAAAACGAACAGAUCGAGGUCGGAAUGGGAUCCGGUGUUUUCACGUCUCACCGUAGUGCCCGGUUUGGCGGUUCAGCUUGCUUCUAUGGCUCACGCAUGAACAGCAACACUCAUGCAGAUUGACAUGGAUGAUCCUUGGGGUUACUUUUUUUAUUUUUAUUAAGAGCUUUAUCCGAUUUGCUGCCAAACGCUUCAAAAAGAGAGUUUUUGCUGUCCAUUUGAAGCCGGUGAAAGAUGCAGUCUCAUGUGAAAGAUGCAGUUUCAUGUCCUGCUCGUAUUGGAUGCAAAAAAUCGAAAGUUUAAUUAGAUUCAUUCUAGUUUUUUUCCUGAGUUGAUUAAAAAGACUGGACAUAACUUAUGGAUUUUAUGCAUUAUGCUGCCUCUUCAUCAAAUAACUCAAAAAUGAAUCCUUUGUAAUUUUGAUGUGGACUAAUUGGGGAGCAAGAAAGGGUGUGCUUUUUAAAAGAUGAAGAUGCAAAGAAGGUUUUUUCUAAAGCCAAAGCCACUUCACCGUUUGUGCUGAGAGUAGUCAUCAAUGAGGUAUUAAUUUUUAACUCCAUUGAUGCAAGCUCCAAGGAACUUUUCAUGGUCGCCUGCCCCUGAAUAUUUGUAUAAAUUAAAUCUUGAAGAUGUAAUGUUUGAUCAUAAAUCAAGGGGCAGGAGUUGGUGCUAUUAUAAAAAAAAAAAAAAAAAAUUUCAUAGUUGCUGUGAAAACCAGCUUUAAUGGCACUGAAUCGAAUUACAAAAAGGAAAAUUUCUUGCCUCCUGAAUCGAAUUCAAACAGUAACCCUUGCUUUGACCCGGUGGCCCAAGCGGUUUUCUUUCACCAGUUUUCCCAGUUUCCCAUCACUUCUUUUUUUCUGUUCAUUUCAUUCCCAUUCGUUCGAUUUUAGUGUUCACAUCUAACGGCCCUCAUUCAUGCAAUGUUUGUUACAUGAUGAUGUAACUUAACCUGACCUUUUUUACAUUCUAUUUAUAAAAAUAAAUUCAUUAUUAAAAAUUAAAAAUAUCAAAAUUACUUUUUGCUAACUAUUUUUUAUUUUGUAAUUACAUAUUCUCUCUCUACUUUUAUAUUAUAUAAAUUAAAUUCCCAACUUUACAUUUUUUUAAAUUUAUUUUUUUGACAUUUCUUAGUAUAUUCUAAUCUAUAUUCAUACUUUAUGUAUGCAAAAUAUUUUUUUCUUGAUACUUACUAACUUUUGUGUUUAGUAAAAAUUAAUUUAUUGAUAUUCAUUAAUUUUCAUUACUUAUAAAAUUUGUUAAUAUUCAUUUUAAAAUAGUGGAUUUUUUAAACUAAUGAUAUCAAUUACUUGCGGUUAAAAUAAUAUAUAUAAAUAAAUUGAUGGAAUUUAUGAAAUUGAAAAGAAAAAGAGAAGAAAUAGUUAAUUAAGUAAUUUUUUUAAAAAUCAUUCAAAUAAUAUAAUUUUUAAGAGGGGGCUAUUUGAACACACCAGUUUUCUCUCUACAUUCUUUUUCUAAUUGAGAAUUUUAUUAUCUAAAUAGUUUUCAAUAAAAUUACUUAAUUAACUCUUUCUUCUCUUUCUCAUCUCAAGUUCACAAAUUCCCAUCAAUCCAUUGAGAUAUAUUUUUUUAGUCACAAAUAAUUGAUAUCACAAACUAGGGAAAACAAAAUCCACAGUUUAAAUUAAAUGUCAACAAAAUUUUAUGAGUCAUGAAAGUCAAUAAAUAUCAAGAAAUUAAAUUUUAAUAAACAGGAAAUUAAUGAACAUCAAGAAAAAGUUUUUAUAUAUAAAAAGUAUGAAAUAGAGGUCAUGAUCUAUUAGAAAAGACCAAAAAUGAAUUUAAAAAAUAGUGAAACUUGAGUCUUUAGUUUAUAAAAUGUGAGAAUUUGCAAUUGUCAGGUAUAGAGAGAGAUUCAUGAAAGGUAAUCUUGAUAUUUUCAAAUAGUCCCAUCUAAUAUUUGAUUGGAAAGCGCGUGUGGACAGAAAAUUAGCGGACUCAAAUAGCCCCACUCUUUCUUUAAUUUCGCAUUGACCCCGAUUAUUUUGUGAUUUUCUCCUUUUAGUCAAUAUUAAUUGUUGUUACUGGAUUUUCCCCUGAGACCUAGAGCGAGCCCAUAACGUUCAUGCUCGAGGACUUCCCUGCCCCGAGAACCAAGCCCAAUAAUCUUGAGGCCUUUGCAGGUUUAUCCAGGAAAGGUGCCUCUGCUAGGAUAAGAAAAGUCAAUUCGGGUUGUGAGUCGAUCCUCAGCCUAGUAAGUGAUGACAGCGUACAGUAAUGAUCUUUGACAAACACCAAAAGAUCGAUUAAUAUGAAAAUGACGAUGUGCUCGUUUUGCAUUUGUUAUUCUUCAGUCACAUCCUCUUUUGCUUCUGUCUGCCUUUACAACAACAAUUUACCAUCAACCUUCAAGCAUUUUUGCACAAACAGCCAAAAAAACACCAAAUAUCAUCGCCCCACUUGCCCUUGUUUAGUUUUUUUCAAGCUCACAGCCAAUCUCAGUACACUGGGAUAAAGACUAGAAGCAGAGAACAGCCGCUGCCAGCUCUAGAAGAUGUGAAAUAAAGAAGACCAUCAAAAUCCUUAAUUAUUGCUUGUCUAUGUCAAGGUUUUAAAGAUAAACAAUCUUGAUAGGCUUUCUUACGUAAGACAUAUAGAUCCAACGAAAAUUAGAUGAAACGUUUAGACACAAGACUUUUAACUUUGAUAUCGUAUAAAGAGUAUAUUUAUAAUAUAAUCUAUUGUUUGGCACAUCGUCUCUGAGUCUCAAUAAAAAAUUUUUAAGUUUUUCGUUGCUAGCUUCUUAAAUUUUCAUGUAUUAUACAUAAUAUAUUAUGAGUGAGGAGUCAUAAACUAAUGAAUAUGGAAACUUAGGAUAAAAAGUUUGAGAUUUUUUUAAAUAAUUUAUGUAGGUAUUUUAUUUUAUAGAAGUCCAUGGACUUACUCAAAUGCUAACUAAGACUUGAGGGUUGCCUAAACUUUUAUAUACCUAACCAAAAAUUUAUUAUCAAACAAUGUGAGAUAUUAUCCCUAACCCUUAACGGUGUGGAGUACAAUCCUUAAUAACAUAUUCCUUUGAAGAAAUUAAAAGAAAAAAAACUUAGUUCGGUAUUUCAAAAAGGGGAGAUUGCCAAAUUCUCUUUAUUGUUAUUGAUAUAUAUCAUUUACCCUCUUAACGGUUUUUAUAAUAGCCAAUAACCCCUUAACAACAUUAGUUUAUAAUAUUAUUCAUAUUUUCAAAUACACUUUUAUUUUUAUUUAUUAUAAAUUAAAUAAAUCAUAUGAAUAGAAACUGAAUAAAAAAUAAGUAUUAAAAACAAUAAAUAUAUGUUUUGAUGUGAACAAAAAAAUUAGUAAUAAAAUUUUUUCUUGUACUUUUUUAUUUUCUAAACAUUUUCUUCUAAUAAAUAUUUUGUAAAUUAUAAAAUUAAAUGUAAAAAGUACAAUAACAAUAUUUUAUUAUUUAUUUUAUAAUAAUUUUUUAUUUAUCAUUCAAGUUUUCUUAUAAUAAUUUUUUUAUAAAAUAAAAAGUAUAAGAAAAAUAAUUUAUUAUUAAUUUUUAUAUCAAAAUAUAUAUUUCUUAUUUUUAAUACUUAAUUUUUUAUUUUAAUUUCUAUUCAUAUGAUUUAUUUAAUCUAAAAUAAAUAUGAAUAAGAGUGUAAUUAAAAAUAAGGAUAAUAUUAUAAAUUUAUACAAUUAAGAGAGUUAUUAGUUAUUAUAAAAAUAAUAAGAGACAAAUGUUAUAUAUCGAUUACAGUAUUGGGAAAAUUAGCAACCUCUCUUCAAAAAACCUUGACAUAUACGUUCUAUAAAUAUAACCCUCUAGCCAAAGCUGUGACAUACACCAAGCAGAGGAUAAUUGAUAUCAUAACUGUUGCUUUCAAAAUGAGGCUUAUUGGGUCCUUACUAAUUUUCUCUCUAGUUUUAUCUUUUGUACUAGGAGGCUCAGCACAGAACUGUGGAAGCGGCGUUGUGUACGGUGGACGUGAUACCGGCCAUGGGACGCAUGGCGGUGAACUGGGCAAGAUCAUCUCAAGGGAGAUGUUUGAUGACUUGCUUGAGUAUAGAAAUGAUGAACGAUGCCCUGCCAGAGGCUUCUACACUUAUGAUGCUUUUAUAGAGGCAGCCCAAGCUUUUCCAGGCUUUGGUAACUCUGGAAAUGAAACCAUGCGUAAAAGAGAAAUCGCUGCCUUUUUUGCCCAAACUGGCCAUGAAACUACUGGUUUGUUUCAAUUCCUGAUCAGCUUAAUUAAAUUUAAAGAUUCCUUUUUCCGGUGCACUAACAAGCAAUGUGCAAGUAUUAAAUUAUAAAUAAACAGCAUCACCCAAUCUCCAAUCGAUAUUUUAAUUUGUUACUAAUCAAUUUUUGCGGUUAAUAAACUUACAGGGGGAUGGCCCGAUGCACCUGGUGGCGAAUAUGCUUGGGGAUAUUGCUUUAUAAGCGAAGUUAGCCCUCCGUCCGACUACUGUGAUCCUAACUAUCCAUGUCGAGGGAAGUACUAUGGCCGAGGUCCAAUUCAACUCUCUUGGUAGGCUGAACAUUUUGAAUUAGUAUAUCAUUGUCUGAUCUGAAUGAGAAAGUCUUGGCCUCUUUAAUUAAAAACUUGUUAAAUGUGUAUUUACAUUCUGUCGAACAUUAAUUAUUAACUAAUUUGUUGGUGUUUAGGAAUUACAAUUACUUACGGUGCGGAGAAGGCCUAGGGCUAGGAGAGGAGUUGUUGAACAAUCCAGACCUUCUUGCUACUGAUCCAGUACUAUCAUUCAAGUCAGCAAUCUGGUUCUGGAUGACUGCACAGCCACCAAAGCCAUCGUGCCACGAAGUCAUUAUCGACGAAUGGAAACCAUCAGCAAAUGACGUAAACGCCGGCCGGCUUCCGGGAUACGGUCUAACCACAAAUAUAAUCAACGGUGGAAUUGAAUGUGGCUAAGGUGGGAAUGCCGCUGUACGUAACCGUAUUGGGUUCUUUACCACUUUCUGUGGCAAGUUUGGGAUUCAGCCUGGUGACAGUCUUGAUUGCUACAACCAACGACCUUAUGGCCUUAAUCUGAUGGCACAAUCUAUGUGAUCAUCAUGAUCAACGUUUUAGUAAAAUAAGCUUAAUAAAAGCUACUUAAUAAAAACUUUAGAUGUCACACUUGUAGGUGGACAACUAAAUUGUUAGUUUGUUACGCUCUUAUUGUAAGUAAAUUAAAUAAGACUGAUCCAACAUGGAUCAAUGAGUCUUCACCAUCUUUCAUCGUUUGAUUAUUUUUUUGAGUUUUUUUGUUAAAAUUUUGUACGUUUGUGGUUAGUUAUUUUAACAAAAUAAUUAGUCGAGAAAGGUAAAUGUUUUGGGGGUGAGAAAUACCACGAUCAGGCACACGAGGAGAAUGUGCUCCCUCUGCCUAGAAUGACUCCUUGAGGAAGAUUAGACCCGAUGAAGUGUGUGGCUGGUCACACGAGUAGAGUUGGCUCGAGACAUGCAAGGAGGGACCAGAACCAAGUCAAUUCGAAGACUUGGUCAAAGGUCAACCCGUGGGUUUCCUCCAAAGAAUUUGGGCACAAAGCUCACUCACCAGCAGUUACACUGCCCAUUCGCCCAUGGUUAUGUAAUCAACCCAUCAACGAAGUCGAGGGAGAAGAGGCUAAUAAUUCUGGUUGGAUAUGAAAGCUUCAGAGAACAGAGUUAAGGGAGUUAGACAACUUUUCAUUUAAUUUUCUCAUACUCUCAAUCUAUUCACAAUUUUAUCUUCUCUAUCAUUCUUUCUUUCUGAAAUAAAACCUUUCUUUUAUUUAGAGCAGUUUAAUUACGCCAUGGGAAUCGUGACCUAAGUUUUUCUAGGCAAACCCAAAUCGCUGACUUGAGCGUCGGAGGGAUUACGGUGGAAAAACCUCUAGCAUCUCCUGACUAGUUGUUGUGAACACAUGUGUUCUUGGAGGAAGUAUUUGAGGUCACAUGAACUUGUUCGAUAGUGGGGAAGCUAGGGGCAGAUCCAGGAUUUUAAAGUACCCCGAGCUAAAUUUUUUAUAAAAAAAAGUUAUAUUGUAAAGUGAACAUAAAAUUUUAUAAGAAAAAAAUAAAAUACACAUAAUAAGAUGAGAACAUUAGAAAUCUUACACUAAAUAAUAAUUACUUUAAAUAAAAUAAUUAUAUAAAAAUAAAAAAUAAAAAUAUAAUUCAAAACAAAAAUAUAACUAAAGUUGUAUUUUUCGCAACUUCAAACAAUAAAAUUCAUCAAUUAUGGAUUUUGGAUCAAUAGUAUCUGCAAUUUCUCUUUCAGCAUAGACAACCAUACAAUUAGAAAGAAACUCAUUUUCUAUUUUAUUGCAAAGUGAUGUCUUGAUAAGGCUCAUGGUUGAAAAUGCAUGCUCUGUUUGUGGCUGCAAAUGAAAGGAGUUUCUUGACUUGGAUUUAUCGGACACAUUAUACCUAUAAAUUACCAUAACAUGAAACUACAUAAGAAUUAAUAAAUUAACUAAUAAUUACAAGCUUAAUUAGCAUGCUUAAAUAAAUUAAACAAUUCAAUUUUUUUCAUCUUUUCUAUUUCUAAAAAAUAUUAUUAGUAAAAAAAUGAGAUGAAGAUUACACGAAAUUGCAGAUACUAUUAUUAGUAAACAAUUCACACUUGACUAACAUGCAAACAACACAUUGAGUCCUUGCCAAUUCCAAGACUUGCGAUAACCAGUUGCACAAUAUAUAAACAAAUUUUUAGAAAUACAAAUCAUGAAAUUUCUCCCCAAAAAUUAAAAAAAAAAAUCCAAUUUGUAUUGAGCCAGCCAUUGUGAUUAAGCUUUCUAAAUUCUAAUAGCAUUUGAGUGAAUUUUAAAAAACGAUAUACCAGAUUAAACUUACUAAAAUAUUAAAAAAAUAGAAAAUCAAAUUACAUACGAAACCCUAGAUUGUUACUUCAAUCAAAAUAAGUACCUUCUAAUAAUUUUAAAUGCAGAUUUGAGAACUCAAAAAUACCACAAUUGAAUUCGAGUGUUAUUAAUUAGGGUUUUAAUGAGAAUGAAAAACACUGAGGAAACUGGGAACGUGCAGGAUAAAAAGCAUUACCAGUGGAAGCGUAAGAUAGAGAACGGCAAGUUAACGUGCGCCUCGAGGAAUAGAGAUAGAGAGAGAGAGAGACGAGCACCCCAAGCACUGUAAGUAACUGGGAGUGGAGAAAUGGCACGAGUGGAAAAUAAAGGGGUCGUUUGGUUUUGUCGUCUUCUACUUUUGUUUUGUGUUUUUUUUUUUUUUUUAAAUGAGCGUGGGUAUCUGAAUCAUCCAAUUUUUUUUUAUAUUCUAUUUAUAAAAAUAAAUUCAUUAUUAAAAAUUAAAAAUAUCAAAAUUACUUUUUACUAAUUAUUUUUUAUUUUAUAAUUACAUAUUCUCUCUCUACUUUCACAUUCUAUAAAUAAUUUUUAAGUAAUUUUUUACAAAUCAUUCAGAUAAUAUAAUUUUUAAGAGUGAGGUUAUUUGAAUCCACCAAUUUCAUCUCUAUAUCUUUUUCUAAUUGAGAAUUUUAUUAUCUAAAUAGUUUUUAAUAAAAUUACUUAAUUAACCCUUUCUUCUCUUUCUUAUUUCAAUUUCACAAAUUCUCAUUAAUUCAUUGAGAUGUAUUCUUUUAACUGCAACUAGGAAAAAUAAAAUCCACAGUUAAAAUUGAAUGUCAACAAAUUUUUAUGAGUCAUGAAAGUUAAUGAAUAUUAAGAAAUUAAUUUUUAGUAAACACAAAAGUUAAUGAAUAUCAAGAAAAAGUUCUUAUAUAUAGAAAGCAUGAAAUAAAGGUUAUGAUCUACUAGAAAAGACCAAAAAUGAAUUCAAAAGAUAGUAAAAUUGAGUUUUUAAUUUAUAGAAUGUGAGAAUAAAAAGAGAAUAUGCAAUUGUAAGGUAUAGAGAAAGAUUAAUCGAGGAUAAUCUUGAUAUUUUCAAAUUUUAAAAUUUUAAUAAUGAAUUUAUUAUUUUUUAAAAAUAGGUAUAGAGAGAAAUUUGGUGGGAUCAAAUAGUCCCACCUAAUAUUUAAUUAGAAAGAUGGUGUAAGGAGAAAGUUGGCAGAUUCAAAUAGCCCUACUCUUUCUUUAAUUUUGCAUUGACCCCGGUUAUUUUAUGAUUUUCUCCUUUUAGUCAAUAUUAAUUGUUGUUACUGGAUUUUCCCCUGAGACCUAGAGCGAGCCCAUAAUGUUCAUGCUCGUGGACUUCCCUGCCCCGAGAACCAAGCCCAAUAAUCUUGAGGCCCUUGCAGGUUUAUCCAAGAAAGGUGCCUCUGUCAGGAUAAGAAAAGUGAAUUUGGGGUUUUGAGUCGAUUUUCAGCCUAAUAACAGCGGACGGUCAUGAUCUUUGACAAACAUCAAAAGAUCGAUUAAUAUGAAAAAAUCCAUCACAAUAACCAUGUGUAUGAGUGUGAGUGUGAGUGUGAGUGUGAGCGUGAGCGUGAGUUAUUUUAAUUUCUAGGCAUUUAUUGAAUGAAAUUGACGAUUGCUCGUUUUGAAUGUGUUAUUUUUCAGUCACAUCCUAUUUUUGCUUCUAUCUGUCUUUACGACAAAAUUUUAUCAUCAACCUGCAAGCAAUCAUGCACAAGCAGCCAAAAAAAAACCUAUUAUCAUCGCCCCACUGGCUCUUAUUUUCAAGCUCAAAACCAAUCUCAGUACAUUGGGAUAAGGCGAGAUGCAGAGAACAGCCACUGCCAGCUCUAGAAGAUGUGAAAUAAAGAAGACCAUCAAAAUCCUUAAUUAUCGCUUGUCUAUAUCAUGGUUUUAAAGACAAACAAUCUUGAUGGGCUCUCUUACAUAAGACGUAUAGAUCCAAUGAAAACUAGAUCGAAACGUUUAGACACAAGACUUUUGCUUUGAUAUCAUAUAAAGAGUAUAUUUAUAAUACAAUGUAUUAUUGUUUGGCACAUUGUCUCUAAGUCUCAAUAAAAAAAUUUAAGUUUUUCGUUGUUAAGUUCUUAAAUUUCAUGUAUUAUACAUAAUAUAUUAUGAGUUGGGAGUCAUAAACUCAUGAAUAUGGAAACUCAGGAUAAAAAGUUUGAGUUUUUUUUUAAAUAAUUUAUUUAGGUAUUUUUUUUAUAGAAGUCCAUGGACUUACUCAAAUGCUAACUAAGUCUUGAGGGUUGCCUAAGCCUUUAUAUACCUAACCAAAAAUUUAUUAUCAAACAAUGUGAGAUAUUAUCUCUAACCCUCAACGGUGUGGAGUACAAUCUUUAAUGACAUAUUCCUUUGAAGAAAUUUAAAAAAAAAAAAAACUUGGUUAGGUAUUUCAAAAAGGGGAGAUUGCCAAAUUCUCUUUAUUAUAAUUAAUAUAUAUCAUUUACUCCCUUAACUGUUUUUAUAAUAGCCAAUAACUCCUUAACAACAUUAGUUUAUAAUAUUAUCCUUAUUUUCAAAUACACUUUUAUUUUUAUUUAUUAUAAAUUAAAUAAAUCAUAUGAAUAGAAACUGAAUAAAAAAUAAGUAUUAAAAACAAUAAAUAUAUGUUUUGAUGUGAACAAAAAAAUUAGUAAUAAAAUUUUUUCUUGUACUUUUUUAUUUUCUAAACAUUUUCUUCUAAUAAAUAUUUUGUAAAUUAUAAAAUUAAAUGUAAAAAGUACAAUAACAAUAUUUUAUUAUUUAUUUUAUAAUACUAUUUUAAUUUCCAUUCAUGUAAUUUAUUUAAUCUAUAAUAAAUAUGAAUGAGAGUGUGAUUGAAAAUAAGGGAAAUAUUAUAAAUUUAUAUUAUUAAGAGAGUUAUUAGUUAUUAUAAAAAUAAUAAGAGAUAAAUAAUAUAUAUUUAUUACAGUAUAGGAACCUCUCUUCAAAAAACCUUGACACAUACGUUCUAUAAAUAUAACCCUCUAGCCAAAGCUGUGACAUACACCAAGCAGAGGAUAAUUGAUAUCAUAACUGUUGCUUUCAAAAUGAGGCUUAUUGGGUCCUUACUAAUUUUCUCUCUGGUUUUAUCUUUUGUACUAGGAGGCUCAGCACAGAACUGUGGAAGCGGCGUUGUGUGCCCAGGAGGGGAGUGUUGUAGUCGAUUUGGUUGGUGUGGCCUAACAACAGACUACUGUUGUGAAGGCUGCCAAAGUAACUGUAAUCAGGUUGUUUGCGGUGAAUGUGAUCCCGACGACGGGACGGCUGGCGAUGGCGGUGAACUGGGCAAGAUCAUCUCAAGGAAGAUGUUUGAAGACUUGCUUGAGUAUAGAAAUGAUAAACGAUGCCCUGCCAGAUGCUUCUACACUUAUGAUGCUUUUAUAGAGGCAGCCAAAGCUUUUCCAGCCUUUGGUAAUUCUGGAAAUGAAACCAUGCGUAAAAGAGAAAUUGCUGCCUUUUUUGCCCAAACUGGCCAU